This 453-nucleotide ribosomal RNA is filed under the name Escherichia coli OP50. RNAcentral's name for it is "partial 23S ribosomal RNA". It matches the Rfam family "Bacterial large subunit ribosomal RNA", at positions 1 to 488 of the family's 2925-position model. Lineage: Bacteria; Pseudomonadati; Pseudomonadota; Gammaproteobacteria; Enterobacterales; Enterobacteriaceae. The record is from RNAcentral.
GUUAUAGGGUCAAGUGACUAAGAGCAUGUGGUGGAUGCCUUGGCGAUGAUAGGCGACGAAAGACGUGAUAGCCUGCGAUAAGCUUCGGGGAGUUGGCAAAUAAACUUUGAUCCGGAGAUUUCUGAAUGGGGGAACCCACCUAGCAAUAGGUAUCGGCAACUGAAUACAUAGGUUGUCGAAGCGAACCUGGAGAACUGAAACAUCUAAGUACCCAGAGGAAAAGACAUCAACUGAGAUUCCGAUAGUAGUGGCGAGCGAAUUCGGAAGAGCCGUCUAGAGAUAGUCAUUGUGUUAACAAAACGGAAUGGAAAGUCCGGCCAUAGUGGGUGAUAGCCCCGUAUGUGAAAACGCAGUGGUGGUACUAAGCUAGAGACAAGUAGGGCGGGGCACGAGAAACCCUGUCUGAAUAUGGGGGGACCAUCCUCCAAGGCUAAAUACUCAUCAUCGACCGAU